GAUGAACGCUGGCGGCGUGCCUAAUACAUGCAAGUCGAGCGAACGGACGAGAAGCUUGCUUCUCUGAUGUUAGCGGCGGACGGGUGAGUAACACGUGGAUAACCUACCUAUAAGACUGGGAUAACUUCGGGAAACCGGAGCUAAUACCGGAUAAUAUUUUGAACCGCAUGGUUCAAAAGUGAAAGACGGUCUUGCUGUCACUUAUAGAUGGAUCCGCGCUGCAUUAGCUAGUUGGUAAGGUAACGGCUUACCAAGGCAACGAUGCAUAGCCGACCUGAGAGGGUGAUCGGCCACACUGGAACUGAGACACGGUCCAGACUCCUACGGGAGGCAGCAGUAGGGAAUCUUCCGCAAUGGGCGAAAGCCUGACGGAGCAACGCCGCGUGAGUGAUGAAGGUCUUCGGAUCGUAAAACUCUGUUAUUAGGGAAGAACAUAUGUGUAAGUAACUGUGCACAUCUUGACGGUACCUAAUCAAAGAGCCACGGCUAACUACGUG
Molecule: ribosomal RNA, 497 nt
Filed under: uncultured bacterium
Lineage: Bacteria
Description: partial 16S ribosomal RNA
Rfam family: Bacterial small subunit ribosomal RNA
Source: RNAcentral